UACGUAGGGGGCGAGCGUUGUCCGGAAUUAUUGGGCGUAAAGCGCGCGUAGGCGGCUUUGUAAGUUAGAGGUGAAAGCCCGAAGCUCAACUUCGGAAUUGCCUUUAAGACUGCAUCGCUAGAAUCAUGGAGAGGUUAGUGGAAUUCCGAGUGUAGAGGUGAAAUUCGUAGAUAUUCGGAAGAACACCAGUGGCGAAGGCGACUAACUGGACAUGUAUUGACGCUGAGGUGCGAAAGCGUGGGGAGCAAACAGG
This 253-nucleotide ribosomal RNA is filed under the name uncultured bacterium. Its description in RNAcentral is "partial 16S ribosomal RNA". It matches the Rfam family "Bacterial small subunit ribosomal RNA", at positions 524 to 776 of the family's 1533-position model. The record is from RNAcentral.